Molecule: small nucleolar RNA, 100 nt
Organism: Phragmites australis (common reed)
Lineage: Eukaryota; Viridiplantae; Streptophyta; Magnoliopsida; Poales; Poaceae
Product: small nucleolar RNA snoR99
Exons: 1
Source: RefSeq, a predicted model, not a curated record
GUUCUGGAGUGAUGAACUGGUUUCUAACAUUUACUACCAUUUCAUUCACUUUGUCAGCUGUUAACCAUAUUUUCGGCCAAUUGUUAAGGUUGGGAGAUGU